This 278-nucleotide ribosomal RNA is filed under the name uncultured bacterium. Its description in RNAcentral is "partial 16S ribosomal RNA". The record is from RNAcentral.
CUGCUGCCUUCCGUAGGAGUUUGGGCCGUGUCUCAGUCCCAAUGUGGCCGUCCACCCUCUCAGGCCGGCUACUGAUCGUCGCCUUGGUGGGCCGUUACCCCGCCGUCAAGCUAAUGCGCCGCAUGCCCAGCCGCCACCGGAUUCCUCCUUUCGCCCGGACCGGAUGCCCGGUCCGGGCGGCAUGGGGUAUUAGGCCGGGUUUCCCCGGGUUAUCCCCCUGUGGCGGGCAGGUUCCAUACGUGUUACUCACCCGUGUGCCGGUCGCCGGCAGGUGCAGG